Long non-coding RNA from Triticum aestivum (bread wheat), 4347 nucleotides. RefSeq lists it as uncharacterized. The record is from RefSeq and is a predicted model, not a curated record. The transcript is spliced from 3 exons. NCBI's taxonomy places the organism in Eukaryota, Viridiplantae, Streptophyta, Magnoliopsida, Poales, Poaceae.
ACCGGUACCACUCAAGAAAAACAAAAUAGGCACCCAGUGCCAACCCUUCCAUUACCUCCCGCACCCACGGCCCUCCACUGUGACCACCAUCGCCGCCUCCUUCCACCGCGCCGGCGGCAUCCCUCCACUGUGCGCCACCCCUCUUCUUCCCCGCGCCGGCCACCUCCCUGCCCCGCGCGCCGCCCCAUCCUUCCCUCACGCUGACCGCCUCCCUCCACCGCGCGCCACCCUCCUCCUUCCUCCGCGCCGGCCACCUCACUCCCCCGUGUGCCGGAGGCCGCCUCCCUCCCCCGCGCCGACGGUCACCGCCUCCUUUCCCCGCCCCGCCGGACGCCGCUUCCUUCCCAGAUCCUGCCAUCGUCCCGCAACAUAACCGGCACCGCGGCUAUCGCCCCGCACCAUAUUCAUGCGCUGCUACCACUCUACCACCAUGUACAGGCAGUUCAACGCUCCAACCACAGGCCGUUCAAUCUCUCCACCGUGGACACGCCCCUCCACGUCCUUCUGGUUGCCUCUCAUCCCGGUGUGGCCUGGGCGUAGGGUUCUCCGCCGCUGCGACCAGCAGUCCAACCCGGCCGUCCUAGGCCGUUCACCGUCACAGCUCCCAGGCCGACUGUGUCAAGCCACCUUCCGGCUGUUUGGGCUCCCGUAUGCGUCCCCUGCCUCAGUUGGUGCACACGUCCCUGCCCAUCGUCCCUCCUCUUUGUUCUUCAUUACAUAAGCUAAUGUAAAAUCAGGUUUCGCCUGAGGCAGGGACAAAGAAGUGAGCAAAAAAGAUGAAUGACAGUUUGUUCACAAGUUCAGCCCUUUAUGUUGAAUUACUAACUUAGGUACUUGUGAUUUCUUAUUGUGUGUGAUUUUUGGUUAAUAUCUUGUAUGAUCCAUUUGGCAGAAAAGAUUCAUAUGAUUUGUGAUGCUUAUAUACAACACUUCUGUAAAUAAAAUAAUUUUUGCAUGUCAAUGGUUGAGGUGCAAAAAAAAGUACAUGUACAUAUACAAAUUACUACUGGAAAGGUUCAAAAACCAGAACUCAACAAGUUCAACGUUGAUGGUACUGUGCACAUGCAAAUUAGAUCAAUAGUAUUGUUGAACAAUUCCUACUCCUCAACUCCGGCGGCAUCCCUCCAUCCCGCACUGCCGCCUCCCCACCUCGCACAACCUCACCACCGUCCUACCCUCCCUGCUAUGUCCCUGGCCACCCUCGCGCCAUCGUAGCGCUCAGGCCGUUCACCGCCGGCACCACAGUACGUUCGCUGCCGACACCCGAGGUCGUUCAACGACGCAACGAUGAAGUCUGGCCUUCCCCCUUCCCCUUUUCAUGUAGCAUAUUCUGCAAAAAUAUUGGACGCUCUCAACUGAAUAGAAAGUGUGUCCCACAACUGUAGGUAUAACCACUGUAGAAGUUUGAAAAUCUCAACAAAUAAAGCUUAAACCAAUGUUCAAGAACUGCUUCCUUCAUAAAUUAGUUUUCUUUUGGUUAACUCGUUGUUAUGGACAGUGCAGAUGCACAUUCUUGUGUAGUACAUGUGCGUAUUGUAUAUAUUGGUUUAAGUUCUGAAUAAGAUAUAACAAAAAAGUUCAUAAAAAACCAGAACACCCGGUAGUUCUAGAAUCUGGGAGUUCAGGAAAAAAUGAUCCAAAAUGAGCUUCGGGAGGGUUUGAAAAAAACAUCAUGAGCAAGGAUUUAUUUUACGCUCACUAGUUUGGUUAUAACUACAAAAGUUGAUCUCUGUCUUGAUCUCUGUACUUAUUCAUUCUGUCACUCGAAUACUUCUCCAGCUGUUAUGAUGUGGCUUGGCAUUCAAUCACUCUUGGCGUUCUUCCAUAAACAAUGAAGGGAAUGCUAAAAGAAGGGUAUGUUUUCCAAGCUGACAUCUGCAAGCCCUCAUUAGGACAGGCAAAAUGCAGAAAUAAGUUCUGACCCUGAAAACUGGUAAGUUUGAAGAAACAAAUUCAGUGUUAUACAUGCUCAGUACUAGAACUCUUGGACGAUUACAUUUUUCUGAAGCUCUAGUUGACCUUAUGAUUGCAUCAGAGUUGGACUUCCUUGUAUUCAAGUGCUCGCAACUAAGCUUCACUUCUGGUUUGUUUGAAUUAUGUGGUAAAACUGAAUAAUGAGAUGGAUGUAUUAACUGGUAAACCAAUGCGUUCAUGUGCCUAGGUUAGCAAUCCAUUCACCAUUUUUUGCAGGUCCAGACGUCUCAAGCAGCUAAGGCCUACAUCUCCCUGCCAAUGUCUGAUCGCCUAUGCCGACAUGGUCGUGGUAAGUUUGUUGGCCUGCUUCCUAUGAUCUGAUGAGGUCAAGCCCACUGUCAUAUUAGUCGAAUAACCUCAUAUUGCUGCCGUCAAGGUUUCCCCUCGCUCUCUCCCCUGAAUCUCUUGAAGAACAUCCAUUCCCCUCGCUGAAUUCUUGAUAGCAUGUUCUAAAUAAGCUUGUAUUCACUCCCUAAGUACUCCUAAAAAGCACUUUUAUUCUAAUUAUACGGAUUUUAUACUUAUGGGAUGUUCAAAUAAACCAGUACACAUGUGUGGUGUCGUUUAUAUAAUUUUGUAUAUAAGAUAUAUAUGUGUAAGUUAUCUAAGAAAAUAAAGAAGAAAAUCAACUUGCAAAUAUAGGGAAACAUGUGUACCUUGAGAAAAGUUCAUAGAAUAAAUGCUAGGAGGUUCAUUUUGUGUUCGUUUAAAUGUCUUCAGUGCAAGUGUGGAGGGCCGGUAAGUUCUACUACCAGUCUAAGCCAAGUUCAGGAGCAUUGCCACUGAUGGCAAGGACAAUGAACCAACGACAUCGUAUCAUAGAUUCUCGGCAUGAUACUUGAAUUGGGGACUGGAUUUCAAGUAUUAAUUCUAGGCAAGUUUGAAAAGUAAACUGCAACAAGUUCUUGUUUAUUUAGCAAUGUAUAAGUUGACUGUGCAAAAACUCAAUGGUUCAAAUAUGAAAGAAGAAUGUAAAAGGUCCAACAUGUGCAUGUUGCCAGUGCCCCUAGUAGGCCUCCGCCCCCGGCUGCCAGUGUGGCUCACGGGCUUCCUGUACUCCUUCAACAUGUGCACGGUUGCUGCUCUCCUCUGCUUUCUCUCUCUUGCAUGAUGUUGCUGCUCCUCUGAAACCUCUCUAGCUCUAUUAGUUCAUGAUGCUGCCUUAUCUCUGAAUUGUGUGGUGACGCUGAGGUUUUGUUGCCACCCAUAGGAUCCCCUGCCUCCAUGUCCACAUUCAUAUGUGCUGCAAGUAAUUGUUUCAGUUCGAGCGGGUGCACAAAACACAAUGUUCUAGUGUGUGCAAUCCACAUGUGCUGCAAGUUCAAGUGUUUCAGUUCGAACAUUUGCUACCCUAGUCAUUUGUUUGUUGCUAAAAUGUCAUAGUCGUAGUUAUCAUUCUUGCAUGAAUUUUUUAUGUACCAUUGUGUCUAUUUCUAAAUGUCAUAGUCACUUUUAUUCACCGUCAGGUGUUUGCUUAAAUGCCUAAACAAAGAUCUAUUUUAGUUCAGUUCAAAUUCUAGUUUUAGUUCAGUGCAAAUCAUAUUUUAAGUUCAAUACAAUUUCUUAUUUUAACGUGGGCAAUCCUUCAAAUGUCUUGCCUUAUAUUGCUGCUCAUCCAUCAUAUUGUCGCGAAAAUAUUAGUUGCCCAUGGCGACAGUAAACAUUUUAUUCAUGAAAACUCAUGUCUUUAUCUGUUGGUAUCGAAAAAUGUGUUCUGGAUCAUAUCUUUGUGUGCUCUUUCUUGAUGUCAGUACAGAGAACCAAAAAUAUUACAUCAAAGUGACAAUGUUUAAUCUCUUCUAUGUUAGUGUAGGGUACAUGUAUACAACAUGUAAUCUGAAGUAAUGGUAGCAGUCUUACUAUGUAAGGGAGCAGCCGAACUCCAGUAAUUCGUGAGAAUAUGACUGUGGAUACAUGAGUGCAGGAAUAAUACAUUGUUAAUUAUUGCAGGUAGGUCAGACCUUAGAAGCCACAUGCAGCCGCACUUGCCGGCACCCGCGACGCACCACCACACCGCCCCCCACGGCGCGCCGUCCAACAGUCCGCCGGGCGCGGCGGCCUCCCGAGCUCCACCUUGCACGGCUACUCGUGCUCUGCCUUCCAGGUGACCAUGUGUCUGCCUCCGUGUGCUGCGUCGGUGGUGUUACGGAACUGAAGAUCUACCCAAUCUGAAUAGUAGGGAGGCUGCGUCAUGUACACUAUGGUGCAUCAAAUUCCACAUCAAUCUGAAUAGUAGGGAGCGUUUUAUGUCAUUCAUGUAUGAAAAUGUGCGGUCAGUGUGGUGUAUAUGUCAUUCUCGUACAAGUAUUAUAUGUGGAAAAUUUUCUGUCUAUGACGAUAUGAUUGCUACUUCAUCAAAAAAGGUAUACAUGA